UACGAAGGGGGCUAGCGUUGCUCGGAAUCACUGGGCGUAAAGCGCACGUAGGCGGAUCUUUAAGUCAGGGGUGAAAUCCUGGAGCUCAACUCCAGAACUGCCUUUGAUACUGGGGAUCUCGAAUCCGGGAGAGGUGAGUGGAACUGCGAGUGUAGAGGUGAAAUUCGUAGAUAUUCGCAAGAACACCAGUGGCGAAGGCGGCUCACUGGCCCGGUACUGACGCUGAGGUGCGAAAGCGUGGGGAGCAAACAGG
This 253-nucleotide ribosomal RNA is filed under the name uncultured bacterium. RNAcentral's name for it is "partial 16S ribosomal RNA". It matches the Rfam family "Bacterial small subunit ribosomal RNA", at positions 524 to 776 of the family's 1533-position model. The record is from RNAcentral.